GCAAAAUCACGGAGAGGCAUCCCUUUUUGAAUUUCAUGUGUAUGAAAAAUGAAGCCUGUGGCAUAGUGGGGGCAGAGUGGUAAAUUAUAUGGAGAGACAGAAGACUGAGAAAGGGGAAGGUUAUUUAAGGAGAUAGGCCUACGAUGGAUUUGGAGAUCCUGACCUGCUGGAGUACAGGGCUGAAUAAGAGAAGUGGUGUGGCUUUCAGGGCACUGGAGGAUGAAAGAGAAGGGAAGAGAAGCUUCAUCAAUGCCUUGAAGAGCUUCUGUCUUGGAACCUGUAAGAUGAAGUGAAGCUACAUGGCCCAAAGGGGUAGAUUGUGACAGACACAGAGAUGAGCUUCUCAGAUCCCCGCUCAAGAGAGGACUAUCUGCCCACUUCUGAUGAGUGUGAUCAGCUGACCUUCUAGCUGUUAGCUCAUUAAGAGUCACCUUAGAUUCCAAGGCAAAGUCCUUUCCUUUCCUUUCCAAGGUGGCUUUUGACCAAUGGUUUUCCAAGGUGGUGUACAGGAACCUAACCAUCUCUCCUCACAAAGGACUCCCUAAUGAGCAAUCUUUACUCUGUUGCUUAAAGUCAAGGAGACUUUAUAGAGUCAGCAUCAAGUUCUGACAACUCCUCCUAACCAAUUCCACUUGCAUCCCUCUCUUUCCAUGGAUGUUAACAAUAAACCUUUC
Molecule: long non-coding RNA, 674 nt
Filed under: Pan troglodytes (chimpanzee)
Lineage: Eukaryota; Metazoa; Chordata; Mammalia; Primates; Hominidae
Description: long non-coding RNA NONPTRT012006
Source: RNAcentral